This is a long non-coding RNA of Oncorhynchus tshawytscha (Chinook salmon), 2611 nucleotides long. Lineage: Eukaryota; Metazoa; Chordata; Actinopteri; Salmoniformes; Salmonidae. The record is from Ensembl.
CACAAACCAUACCACACCAUACCACAAACCACACCAUACCACAAACCAUACCAUACACCAUACCACACUAUAUCACAAACCAUACCAUACAUCAUACCACACCAUCAUACACCAUCAUACACCACACCAUACACCACACCAUAUCACAAACCAUACCAUACACCAUACCACACCAUACCACAAACCAUACCAUACACCAUCAUACACCAUCAUACACCAUACGCCAUACCACACCAUACACCAUACCACACCAUACACCACCAUACCACACACCAUACCACACCAUACCACACACCAUACCUUGUCUAUGAAUAAAGACCAGUCACGGGUUCUUCUGACAAAAUAGAAGCCAAAGGGAGAAUAAUAACACAACCAGCCAAUCAGGUUACAGGUUGAAUCAUUUGCUGUAUUCCUGAACAAAAGCACCAGUGUAUGAAAAGCCAUAAAGGAUUAAUUGCAUAAAGAAAUAUUUGUGUAAAUAUAUACAGUACACGACAACAUAUAAAAACAGUCAUUUGUUGAUUGUAUGGGAAGCUAUUGUGCCCUUAUACCCAUGCAUUUACACAUGAAUCAAUCUGUCUUUUCUUUAUGCUUGGGGUCCACAGUCAGCGCACAGCUUCAGGGCUUUGUGUGAACAAGCCCCACAAACAAAUUGGUUUCACUGCACACAGCACACAGUUUUCAUGGGCCUUGUUUCCUGUGUACCUGCCGCAAGUGUUGCAUGGUCUCUCUGAAGCGGAUGCGUAGCUCGGUCUCUCUGAGGAGGUUGGUCUCUCUGAAGAGGAUGGUCUCUCUGAAGAGGAUGCGUAGCUCGGUCUCUCUGAAGAGGAUGCGUAGCUCGGUCUCUCUGAAGAGGAUGGUCUGUCUGAAGAGGUCGGUCUCUCUGAAGAGGAUGCGUAGCUCGGUCUCUCUGAAGAGGAUGGUCUCUCUGAAGAGGAUGCGUCGCUCGGUCUCUCUGAAGAGGAUGGUCUCUCUGAAGAGGUUGUGUAGCACGGUCUCUCUGAAGAGGAUGCGUAGCACGGUCUCUCUGAAGAGGAUGGUCUCUCUGAAGAGGUCGGUCUCUCUGAAGAGGAUGCGUAGCUCGGUCUCUCUGAAGAGGAUGGUCUCUCUGAAGAGGAUGCGUAGCUCGGUCUCUCUGAAGAGGUUGAGUGUCAUGGUCUCUCUGAAGAGGUUCCCCCCCAUACCUAUCAGACCAAAAUGACUCCAUGCUAUUUCAGCUUUAUGCCCCGCGGACAUACAAGAGAGCAAUAAACGUACUGUUUCCUUUUCUGUGUGCAUCAGCUUCAGUACAGUCUCUGAUGGGAUGCAACAUCUGCAUGCCACAAACUCAUCAUUCUUUUCUAUCCAAACUGUGCCAUCCCUCUUAGACUCCUGUCUCACCGUGCCAUCCCUCCCAGACUCCUGUCUCACUGUGCCAUCCCUGUUAGACUCCGGUCUCACUGUGCCAUCCCUCCCAGACUCCUGUCUCACCGUGCCAUCCCUCCCAGACUCCUGUCUCACCGUGCCAUCCCUCCUAGACUCCUGUCUCACCGUGUCAUCCCUACCAGACUGUUCUGGUUUUUCUGUGGUGAGGCUCAGACAUUGGAGGUGGAGAUUCUAAGUCAACAUCAGAAUCAAAUGAAGACUCUUCAUCAGCAACGUCGAUAUCCUAUCCUCCAUCCGACUCCUACUCAUCUAAAUUCUGCAGCAUCUGCAGUGCUGUCAGUGCAUCCGAUCGUUUGGUUGGGCUUGGCAUUGUGAACUACGCACAUUGUAUCUUGUACUCGGUGUCUGAUUUGACUCUCCCAGAAGAAAUUACAUUGCAUUCAGAAAGUAUUCAGACCCCUUCCCGUUAAAUCCUUAUUCUAAAUUUGAUUAAAUAUGUUUUCUCUCAUCAAUCUACACACAAUACCCCAUAGUGACAAAAGAAAAUCAAGUUUAGAUAUUUUUUGCUAAUUCAUGAAAAAUAAAGGAAAUAUCACAUAUAUACAAGUAUUCAGACCCUUUACUCAGUACUUCGUUAAAGCACCUUUGGCCUAGAUUACAACCUUGAGUCUUCUUGGGUAUGACGCUACAAGCUUGGCACACCUGUAUUUGGGGAGUUUCUCCCAUUCUUCUCUGCAGAUCCUCUCAAGCUCUGUCAGGUUGGAUGGGGAGCGUCGCUGCACAGCUAUUUUCACGUCUCUCCAGAGAUGUUUCGAUCAGGUUCAAGUCCGGGCUCUGGCGGGGCCACUCAAGGACAAUCAGAGACUUGUCCCGAAGCCCACUCCUGCAUUGUCGUGUCUGUGUGCUUAGGGUUGUUGUCCUGUUGGAAAGUGAACUUUUACCCCAGUCUGAGGACCUGAGCAGUCUGGGUCAGGUUUUCAUCAAGGAUCUCUCUGUACUUUUCUAUGUUCAUCUUUCCCCUCGAUCCUAACUAGUCUCCCAGUCCCUGCCACUGAAAAACCUCCCCAAACAUACCCAAAGCAUGAUGCUGCCACCACCAUGCUUCACCGUAGGGACGGUGCCAGCUUUCCUCCAGGCGUGAUGCUUGGCCAGAGACCAGAGAUUCUUGUUUCUCAUGGUCUGAGAGUCGAAGUGCCUUUUGGCAAACUCCAAGUGGGCUGUCAUGUGCCUUUUACUGAGGAGUGGU